GAUGAACGCUGGCGGCGUGCCUAAUACAUGCAAGUCGAGCGAACGGACGAGAAGCUUGCUUCUCUGAUGUUAGCGGCGGACGGGUGAGUAACACGUGGAUAACCUACCUAUAAGACUGGGAUAACUUCGGGAAACCGGAGCUAAUACCGGAUAAUAUUUUGAACCGCAUGGUUCAAAGGUGAAAGACGGUCUUGCUGUCACUUAUAGAUGGAUCCGCGCUGCAUUAGCUAGUUGGUAAGGUAACGGCUUACCAAGGCAACGAUGCAUAGCCGACCUGAGAGGGUGAUCGGCCACACUGGAACUGAGACACGGUCCAGACUCCUACGGGAGGCAGCAGUAGGGAAUCUUCCGCAGAGGGCGAAAGCCUGACGGAGCAACGCCGCGUGAGUGAUGAAGGUCUUCGGAUCGUAAAACUCUGUUAUUAGGGAAGAACAUAUGUGUAAGUAACUGUGCACAUCUUGACGGUACCUAAUCAGAAAGCCACGGCUAACUACGUG
This 497-nucleotide ribosomal RNA is filed under the name uncultured bacterium. RNAcentral's name for it is "partial 16S ribosomal RNA". It matches the Rfam family "Bacterial small subunit ribosomal RNA", at positions 28 to 507 of the family's 1533-position model. The record is from RNAcentral.